GACGAACGCUGGCGGCGUGCUUAACACAUGCAAGUCGAACGGUAAGGCCCUUCGGGGUACACGAGUGGCGAACGGGUGAGUAACACGUGGGUGAUCUGCCCUGCACUUCGGGAUAAGCCUGGGAAACUGGGUCUAAUACCGGAUAGGACCACUGCCUGCAUGGGUGGUGGUGGAAAGCUUUUGCGGUGUGGGAUGGGCCCGGGGCCUAUCAGCUUGUUUGUGGGGUGAUGGCCUACCAAGGCGACGACGGGUAGCCGGCCUGAGAGGGUGACCGGCCACACGGGGACUGAGAUACGGCGCAGACAACUACGGGAGGCAGCAGUGGGGGAUAUUGCACAAUGGGCGCAAGCCUGAGGCAGCGACGCCGCGUGUGGGAUGACGGCCUUCGGGUUGUAAACCUCUUUCAGCACCGACGAAGCGCAAGUGACGGUAGGUGCAGAAGAAGGACCGGCCAACUACGUGCCAGCCGCCGCCGUAA
This 478-nucleotide ribosomal RNA is filed under the name uncultured bacterium. RNAcentral describes it as "partial 16S ribosomal RNA". It matches the Rfam family "Bacterial small subunit ribosomal RNA", at positions 28 to 523 of the family's 1533-position model. The record is from RNAcentral.